Molecule: long non-coding RNA, 2024 nt
Organism: Cornus florida
Lineage: Eukaryota; Viridiplantae; Streptophyta; Magnoliopsida; Cornales; Cornaceae
Exons: 4
Source: RefSeq, a predicted model, not a curated record
CUUUACCAAUUUCAUCCAAACCCUAGUUUCUCUUUAUCCUCCCCAAUCGUCUCCAUCUCUAUUCCCGGUCUCAACUCUGAACUUGCCCCCCUCUCUCUCUGCAACUCCCUAGUCGCCUCCAUCUCUCUCUCUCUGUAACUCCCCAAUUGCUUCAAUCUCUAUUCUCGGUCUCAACUCUGAACUUGCGCCCCCCUUCUCUCUCUGCAACUCCCCAAUCGUGAUGACACGUGCCCCUCCUCCUCAACCAUCCCUCUCUCUCAGCAAUUUUGCCUCCAAUCGUAAACAUAUACGGACCCCAGCUGGCUCGAAACCGGUCCGAGUACAUAAACGUCGGCCUAUACUUGUUCGCCACCAUUGUUCUUCUCUGUGGCUUCAUUGAUCGCUUCGUUGCUAAGAAAAUCUCUACAAAUCAUUUGAUUCACUUUAUGUAAUGGCCUCCGAGCUUGAUAUCAAUGGCGAUUUGGCAUCUUCGGCUCGAAUCUCCUCAAAAACCUCCCCCAACUCUCCCCUGACCAGGUUGAGGUUGCGAAGUUGCUGUUGGAGGUCAGACAGAGCCAUCUGUUCUAGCAUUGGCCUGAGCCUGGCGUCGAUGAUGAUGAGAAGCUAGUUUUCUUUGAUCAGGUUGCUCGACUUAAUGCAAACUAUCCUGGUGGGUUGGCAUCAUAUAUCAAAACUGCCAGAGAACUCCUAGCAGAUUCAAAGGUGGGGAAGAUCCCAUUUGAUGGUUUUACACCUUCUGGUUUUGAUUCUUUAAAUGCUCCUCCUAGAGUAUCCCCAAAUUCAUUUUCUAGUCGUGAUGCCAAUUCAGUUAAGGUUAUGAACUUUUAAUUUCUCUUAUAUGUUAAAUUUUCAUUUAUUAUAAUGUGCGCUUAAUGAAUUUAUAAAAAAUGUAGGGUAAUUCAAAUCAAAUGGGCAAGAAGAAGACUUGUUGAAGUUGAAGUUGAAGCUGAAGAUGGGGUCGUGGCUGUGCUUUCAGUCUUUUCCUUCGCCUUGGAUGGGUUCUUUUUGAAAAACUUGUACUACAUUUGUCAAAAAUACUUAAUUCUUUUUGUGUGACAUUUAGUAUCUUUAUCUAGACAAUUUGGAUGUAUUUUCAUAUUGGCAGGUUAACUUGUGGUUGUAUUAGUAUACAUUUUGGCUUUUUGGUUGGCAUUUACUAGCUUCAUCUAUUAGUAGCCAAUUUCGAUGGUAUUUUUCAUAUUGGCAGCAGGUUAACUUAUGGUUGUAUUAUGUAAAAAUAAUUUGGGUAGUAUUUUUAUAUUGACUGAUGUUAUAUUGGAUGAUUUUUUUUUUUCAAAAACAAUAAAGGGGGAGAAAAAAAAUAAAUAUAAAAUGACCCUUUACUAGCACUCUUUUAAGAAGCGCUGGCAUAGGGGGGGGAGGAAAAAAAAAAAUUUUAAAAAAACUAAAAUGACCCUUUACCAGCGCUUUUUGGAAAAGCGCUAGGAAAGGCCUUUUACCAGCGCUUUUUGGAAAAGCGCUGGGAAAAGCCUUUACCAGUGCUUUUUGGAAAAACGCUAGUAAAAGGCCUUUACCGGCGCUCCUAGAAAAGCGCUGGUAAAGGCCUACUGACACAGGCUUUACCAGCGCUUUUGGAAAAGCGCUGGUAAAGCGUUGGUAAUUGAAUUACCAGUACUUUUUAUGACUUUUACCAGCCAUUUUGAGUGUUGGUAAAAGCCAGAACUGUUGUAGUGACAUUUAUUUUGCAUUCUAUGUACUUUUAUUUCUAAGUGAUUUUGUUGAAAAAUAAAAAAUGCCAUGUUUUAAGGUCACUACAUUUGCAUGGGCGGUGGGAAGUGGGUUUUAACACUUCCAUAGGGUCUCUUCAAUCAUGCAUGAAGUUUGGCCAAGGGCCAAAUGGUCAUUUGAAACCAUUUUAUAAUUUUAAGUUUCAAAUUUCUCUUUAAAAGUCCAUUUUUGGCAUUUUUGAGGUUCGGAUAGGUCGUAUUUUGCAUCAGGCAUUUAUGGGACCCACGAACCAUUCUUGCAUUCUUAAAAUCACUAAAUACGUUUACAUGCAUAAU